CAUCACCAUGGGCAGCUGAGUAUGACUAUUUUAGAUUUCAUGUUUCAGUGGGAUCAUACAGAUAUUGAGGAUUUGGACAAGGGAGAUUAUCCCAAGUUAUCCAGGGGGCCCAGUGUGAUCACAAAGUUCCUCAUGAGGGCUAGGAUAUAGCUCAGUUGGUAGAGUGCUUGCCUCGCAGACACAAGGCCUGGGUUCAAUCCCCAGCAACACACACACACACACACACACACAUAUACAUACACACACAAGCUCCUCAUGAGAGUCAGGUGUGGAUGCCUAUGGUCCCAGCUGCUUGUGAGGCUGAGGCAGGGGCCCAGAAGUUUGGGGGCAGUUGGGCAACAUAGUAAGACCUCAUCUCUCAAAAACUAAACAUAUAAAAAUUAAAAUGUAGAUGGGUAUGGUGGCACAUGUCUAUAAUCCCAACAGCUUGGGAGGCUGGACAGGAGGAUGGCAAUUUCAAGGCCAGCCUCAGCAACUUAUUGAGGUCCUGUCUCAAAAAAAAAAUUUUUUUAAAAAGGACUGAGGAUGUGGCUCAGUGGUUAUGCACCCCUACGUUCAAUUUCCAGUACCAAAAAAAUUAAUUUAAUUUAAAAAGGUCCUCAUCAGGCUCAGUGGUGCACUCCUAUAACCUCAAGAAGCUGGGGCAGGAGAAUCACACAUUCCAAGCCAGCCUCAGUAACUUAACAAAGUCCUCAGAAAUUAUCAAGACCAUCUCAAAAUAAAAAUUAAAAAAAAAAAUUAAAAGGGCUGGGAAUGUAACUUGGUGGUUUAGUACCCUGGGUUCAGUCCCUGGUACUGUUGGGUUAGUUAGCCAUGAAUAGAUAGGUAGAUGGAAAGGGCAAUGAAGGACAGACAUCAGGCCUAUACACCAAGAAAAAUUCGGGAGUCACAAAACUGAAACUGUGGGGAACCUUAUCUAAAUAGGCAAGCUUUGGGGAAUGAGAUAUUCAAUGCCUAACUUACCCCAAGGUGUAGAGAAAAUCCCUUGAGGGAAUUAUUAUUUAAAGUCCUGGGGACCCUAACUAAAACAGAUAAGCAUCAGAGAAGUUAUCUGGUACCUCAAGGUACCCCCCUAGCUACAGCUAAUUAUAACCCCACAAGGGGCACCAUGAUUUCCAGAAAAAUGCCAUCACUGUCUCUUGCAACCAACCCUCCCUUAUUACCAAAACUGUCACAAUCACACUGUCAACCAGAAUACCAAGACCCUCCCAAAGAAAGCUUGCUGAUGGCUAUCCAAAGGAAAUAAACCAAUGGAGGAGGAAUAGGGAAACUGAGGCAAGAACAAAGGACUCCGUUUCCUUAAAAAUCCAGCCUCACCGUCCUCUCUUGAAGGCAGUCCCCGCAGUCCCCAUGCUAUACAUUCCACUCGCUUCUCACUCCAUUAAACUUUUGCUUACUACUCUGUGUCUCACUCAAAAUCUUUCCCGCAGAGUCACCAGAACCAGCACCUAAGGAUUGCAGUGGCUGCCCCUGCUCUGCCCAGCUGCACAACAGUACCCAAAAAUAAAUAAAAAUUUCAAAAAAUAAGAAAGGAUCCUUAAAAGAGGGUCAGAGUGAGCAAAGGCAAUGUAAUGACAGGAGCACAGAUAAGAGGGAAGAGAGAGAGAGAGAGAGAGAGAGAGAACGCAAGCAAGCGCACGUCUUGGAAGAGAUGUGCUACCUUUGAAGGCAGAAGAAGGGGCCAUAAGCCAAGGAAAGCAGGAAGCCUCUAGAAGCUGGAAUAGACAAGGCAAUAGGUUCUCCCCUCAAAGCCCCCAGAAGGAUCUGACCUGGCAACCCCUUAAAUUUAGCCCAGUGAGACUGGUUUUGGAUUUCUCACCUCCAGAACUAUAAAAAUAAUACAUGUGAGUUGUUUGAAGGCACUAAAUCUAUGUUAGUUUGUUAUAACAGCCAUGGGAAACCAAUACACAAACCUCUUGAACACAAUUCUGUAAGAUUCGUUAGAAUGAUGCUGUGAUCGGGAUGCAUAUUCCCCUUCCCCACAAAUUCACAUAUGGAAGUCCUAAUCUAUAAAAUUAUGGUUUUAGAAAGUGUGGCUGUGAGAGGUGGUUAGGUUAUGUGGGUGGGACCCUCGUGAAUAAGAUUGGUGCCCUUAUAAAAGACCUUAGCGAGCUAUCUCAUCCCUUCCACCUUGUAAAGACAGUUACAAAGUGCUGUCUAUGAGCCAGAAAGCUGUCCUGACCAGACACCACAUCAUGGCACCCUGACCUUGGACUUCCAGUCUCCACAACUUUUGCUUAGGAGCCACUCAGUCUAUAGGACAUUUGGUUAUUACAGCCUGGAUGCACUAAGGCAUCCUUCUUUUGUUUUCUCCACUUUCCAACUUUUAAAAAAUGUGGUAAGGGGCUGGGGAUGUGGCUCAAGCGGUAGCGCGCUCGCCUGGCAUGCGUGCGGCCCGGGUUCGAUCCUCAGCACCACAUACAAACAAAGAUGUUGUGUCC
RNAcentral lists this long non-coding RNA (2441 nucleotides) under Marmota monax (woodchuck). The record is from RNAcentral. Lineage: Eukaryota; Metazoa; Chordata; Mammalia; Rodentia; Sciuridae.